AGGGUUGUAGCUGCCGUCGCCGGGUGUCGUGGCCGGGUUCGCACGGCCUGUGUGACCGCGGGUCCUCCCCGCAGGAUGGCGGCCCCCGGCUCCCAGGAGGACAAGGCGGCGGCGGCAGGGGGCGGGCCCCCGGGCGUGGGGCGGCGGCGGAGCCGGACGCUGCUGGUGCGGCACCUGCCCGCCGACCUGACCGCCGCGGAGAAGGAGGAUCUGCUGAGGCACUUCGGGGCCGCGUCCGUGCGGGUCCUGUCCGACCAGGGGCGGCUGAAACAUACAGCUUUUGCUACAUUCCCCAAUGAAAAUUCAGCUGUAAAGGCAUUGUCAAGACUGCAUCAGCUGAGACUUUUAGGUCACACUUUAGUUGUUGAAUUUGCAAGGGAACAAGACAAUGUUCAGGUACUUAGCCAACCUUCACUCUCAGAGAAAAAUAAAAGGUCAGAAGAACCAGUGGAAGAAGAGAGAGAACGGAAAGAGCCAAGUUGUCCUAAAAUAGAGAAUGGAAUUGCUCCCAGCCAUGGGCUAACCUUUCCUAUAAACUCUUGCCUCAAAUAUCUGUAUCCACCGCCUUCAAGUACAAUCCUAGCAAAUAUAGCAAAUGCCUUGGCAAGCGUGCCUAAAUUUUAUGUACAGGUGCUGCACCUUAUGAAUAAAAUGAAUCUACCCCCACCCUUUGGACCCGUUACUGCUCGACCACCCAUGUAUGAAGAAUAUUUACCAGCGCCUGUGCCGCCGCCACCUAUCCCACCACUGCCUCCAGAGGAGCCUCCUUUGCCUGAAGAAGAGGAAGAUCAGGAAUCUAGCAGAGAAGAAUCUGAAUAUGAAAGUGCUGAUGAGGAAGAAAAAGAGAGAAUGACUAAAUUGAUGGAAUUAGCAACCAUUCAGCCUAAAAGACCAAUAUCCACAAAGCAGCGUAGUGUGAGAAAAAAGCAAAAGAUAAAAGACUUGCUGAAUGCUCCCACAUCUGCUCCCCACAGUAAUCUGCACCCUACACUAUCACCUUCGGAUGUGUUUGAGCAGCCGCAAUCUGUAGGUCACAAAAAAAUUAAGUUCCAAAUUUCUGCAGACAUUCCGGACAUUCUUCAGAAAAGUUUAGAGAGAGACCAAAACAAUGAUCUUUAUGCAACUUCAGAAGAAAUAACUAAUGCAGGAUUUGGAAAGAUCUUCCCAGCUCCUAGCUCUAAUGAUAAAGAGGACACAGAAGAAGAUGAUGAUGAUGAUGAUGAAAUACCAUCAGAAUUUGUUUCUAGAAGGGAAUUGGAAAAAGGCAGACUUUCUAGAGGAGAAAUGGAAAAACUUGCCAUUUUCAAAAACUAUGAGCCAGGUGAUCCAAACUGCAGGAUUUAUGUGAAGAAUUUGUCAAAACAAGUUCAAGAAAAGGAUCUCAAGUUUAUUUUUGGAAGAUAUGUUGACUUUCAAUCAGAAACUGAACGAAUUAUGUUUGACAUACGUUUGAUGAAAGAAGGUCGCAUGAAAGGACAGGCUUUCAUUGGCCUUCCUAAUGAAAAAUCAGCUACCAAAGCCUUAAAAGAAGUAAAUGGAUAUGUUUUGUUUGAAAAGCCCAUGGUAGUUCAAUUUGCACGAUCCGCUAGACCAAAACAGGACUCCAAAGAAGAGAAAAGAAAAAGAUAGAACAAUGCUAAAGUUGGAUGCCCAGUUCUGAUAUAAAUAAAAUGCCAGCUAUAUGAGAGAGCAAUGAAGAAGCUAAUGUCGCAAAGGCUACUGGUUCCAGGGAGAAAGAAACAUUCCUGCGUAAAUACUGCAGUAAUACUGUCAUGCAGAGUGUAUCCUUUCUUGUUGUAUCCUUUUUUUGUGCAAUGUUUUCCAUAGCACUCAAAUACCUCCAAGUUCUCUUUUAGUGUAGGUGCGGGGAGGAAUUUAUACCCUUUUUACAAUUUGGUAAAUCUGUUCAAAUAAGUAAGAUACUUUAAAUUAUAAAGGGGACUUUUUCAGGAAGAAGGUUAGUGAAUCAGGUCACUUAUUUACUUAGAGGGACACCAUGAAUGUUUCUAGUCUCAAAAUGUGACCUUUCCUCCCUGUUCCUUCUCUAAAUCCAUAUAAUUAUUUAUUUUGUGGGCCAGAUCCAGAACUGGUGUAAAUUGGCCUUGUUCCAUUGACUUCAGUGGAGCGAUGCUGACUUAUAUCAGCUGAUGUUCCUUUUUUUAAAAAAUAGCAAUACCACACUGUGUGUUAGAAUGUUUCAGUUUUGAUGGGGUGGUUAUAAGCAGAAAACAAUCCUUGAUGUUGUCUUUUUAAGUAAUACAUUCAUUUAAUGACAGCUUGUGCCCCAGUUAUGGGACGCAACCUGCACUUAGUUUCUCUCGUAACGUUUUCCUUUUUUUAGAAUAGAGAACAGAAAAUCUAGCAAUGUCUCAUAAUGAAGUAAUGAAGACUGAAGCUAAACUUUAUUCAUUGCUACCUUUGUUCCCCACUUCCUGGUAGUGUUUUAUGGCUACUAAUCUAUAAUUUGCUUGUGGGGGGUUGUAUUACAGCAUUCUGUGAUUAACCUUAAUUUUUUUUAACUUUAUAAACUAAUACAUGCUGUAUGUAGUAAGCCAAAUUUAGUUGGCUCAGACAUGAUUCACUAAUUUUCUAUAUUUUAAGAUUUUUCAACUUUCCAGUUAAGCUUCUGACAACUGAACACAGUAAUUUUCCAGUCAUUUAUACUUUUAACAUGCCUUUAUAAUGUUCCAGGUUCCUUUUGUGUUCCAUCUCUUUCAAGUGUUACCAAGCCACAGGAAGAAGCAAUGUGAUCAACAGGACUAUUGAACAGUGCGUAGGUGCAUUUCAAAUGUUUUUAAAACAAGACUUAAUUCUCUUCAUUCUUAAAGGUUCCAAAUGCUUUUAAACACAUUGUAGCCUAUCAGAAGACAGACAUAUGAAAAAUGUAUAUUAGUCUGCUUGUUAAAUCUCUAAUAAAUUAUUCCUCUCCCCUUCA
This is an RNA transcript of Gopherus flavomarginatus (Mexican gopher tortoise), 2935 nucleotides long. It is a transcript of the gene named RNA binding region (RNP1, RRM) containing 3, with no coding region annotated. Lineage: Eukaryota; Metazoa; Chordata; Testudines; Testudinidae. The record is from RefSeq and is a predicted model, not a curated record. The transcript is spliced from 16 exons.